RNAcentral lists this unclassified non-coding RNA (379 nucleotides) under uncultured Bacteriovoracaceae bacterium. Its description in RNAcentral is "contains 16S-23S intergenic spacer region". The record is from RNAcentral. Lineage: Bacteria; Pseudomonadati; Bdellovibrionota; Bacteriovoracia; Bacteriovoracales; Bacteriovoracaceae.
UCCUGGUUAACCCAGGCAGUCUCAUUAGAGUGCCCAACUUAAUGCUGGCAACUAAUGAUAGGGGUUGCGCUCGUUGCGAGACUUAACCCAACAUUUCACAACACGAGCUGACGACAGCCAUGCAGCACCUGUCACUGCGUUUCCCGAAGGACACCCCUCCAUCUCUGGAGGGUUCGCAGGAUUUCAAGCCCAGGUAAGGUUCUUCGCGUUGCUUCGAAUUAAACCACAUGAUCCACCGCUUGUGCGGGCCCCCGUCAAUUCCUUUGAGUUUUAAUCUUGCGACCGUACUCCCCAGGCGGAGAACUUAAUGCGUUAGCUGCGAGACCGCAGGGGUCAAUACCCGCAAUCUCUAGUUCUCAUCGUUUACGGCGUGGACUAC